CUGAACUAAGCAUGAAAAGUUUGUGACGAAACGAAUUAAUAUGAACCAUGUUUUAUGAUUGGCUUGCUUAAACCAGUGAGCUCACUCUCUCUAUAUAUCUGUAGAGAUAUGUUACAGUAAUUAUGCUUGCCAGCGUGAAACACUAAAAACUUUAAGGUUAUUUUUCUUAUUCUUACCUCUCCCACAGUUUCUUCGGUUAAACUAUUUCCACAUUUCCCAUUCCCCAGCCCACCAAUCCCUAUUCUAUACGGUUUUGUGGUUCUCCCACUCACUGUCGUGGUGGGCCUCAAUUCGCACACACCCUGGUUUUCCAGUACUCCCGUCUUCCUGCUCCCAAUUUCUCGAGCACCAUUCCCUGUUUGCUCCACUUCCACACCCCCCCUUCCUUAAAUUUCCGAUUCCAUAUUUUAAAGAUAGCCGGGCUAGUUCUAUUUAGAAAAUUUAUUCGUACGUCUGUUAGUCGUCUGUACUCGUUUGUCACUCGGGUGUAGUUUCAGAAUAGAUCAUUCGGAUCUAAGAAAGUGAAACCAUAAUGGCGGAAGUGACGUACAUUAGCUAGGAAGGUUUGAAACAGUCUUCUAGUUUUCUCUAAGGAAACGUAUCGCUAUACCGGAGGUGUUACUGACGUCCAAUAGCUGUAUUUUUGGCUUCACUUUUUUGGGCAGGAGUUCUCGCUUCAGAUAAAUAUGGAGCUCCCUGGCUUAAACAGAAGUGAUCAGUAUUUGUGACUUUUUCGUCAAAGUCUGGUUCACACUAGCAAUACUGUCGGCGAUAUUUCUCCUCCUGGCAAAUGUGAUCGAUUGAAUGACAUCCAAAAGAGUUAGAAUUGUUUACUUCUGAAAAGAGACUGUGUACUUUUGUGUGCGAGUUCACUCAUUUGCAUCCGUCAGAAACACAAAAUCACCGACAAAAUUGCUGGUGUGAACCAGGCUUAAAGAAUUUAUUCUUCAGUUCUAUGGUGUUUCAAUGAUUGCUAUAAUAAACCAAUCACAGAACUUGUUCAUAUAGCUUCGUGAUGACCUCAAAAUAUUGACAUUUUGUAUAAAUAUGUCAAUGAUUGACGAAUUGAUUUGAUUGACCUCCUUUUGUAGAUGGAACUCUUGGUGCCUUAACUUUUUUGCCUUAGAUUCUGUGCAAAUAUAAUAAUUCAUAGCCUAGCAAUGAUUUAAUG
Paramuricea clavata is the source of this 1171-nucleotide non-coding RNA. The record is from the annotation of a GenBank genome assembly. Lineage: Eukaryota; Metazoa; Cnidaria; Anthozoa; Malacalcyonacea; Plexauridae.